GAUGAACGCUGGCGGCGUGCCUAAUACAUGCAAGUCGAGCGAACGGACGAGAAGCUUGCUUCUCUGAUGUUAGCGGCGGACGGGUGAGUAACACGUGGAUAACCUACCUAUAAGACUGGGAUAACUUCGGGAAACCGGAGCUAAUACCGGAUAAUAUUUUGAACCGCAUGGUUCAAUAGUGAAAGACGGUCUUGCUGUCACUUAUAGAUGGAUCCGCGCUGCAUUAUCUAGUUGGUAAGGUAACGGCUUACCAAGGCAACGAUGCAUAGCCGACCUGAGAGGGUGAUCGGCCACACUGGAACUGAGACACGGUCCAGACUCCUACGGGAGGCAGCAGUAGGGAAUCUUCCGCAAUGGGCGAAAGCCUGACGGAGCAACGCCGCGUGAGUGAUGAAGGUCUUCGGAUCGUAAAACUCUGUUAUUAGGGAAGAACAAAUGUGUAAGUAACUGUGCACAUCUUGACGGUACCUAAUCAGAAAGCCACGGCUAACUACGUG
This 497-nucleotide ribosomal RNA is filed under the name uncultured bacterium. RNAcentral describes it as "partial 16S ribosomal RNA". It matches the Rfam family "Bacterial small subunit ribosomal RNA", at positions 28 to 507 of the family's 1533-position model. The record is from RNAcentral.